Molecule: transfer RNA, 80 nt
Filed under: Streptomyces sp. ADI92-24
Lineage: Bacteria; Bacillati; Actinomycetota; Actinomycetes; Kitasatosporales; Streptomycetaceae
Description: tRNA-Ile
Source: RNAcentral
UCGACGUACCGGCGAUGGCUCGCCGGGCGCUGAUGUCGCCCGGACACUUCUCCCGGGCGUUCCGGGCGGCCUACGGCGAG